RNAcentral lists this unclassified non-coding RNA (400 nucleotides) under soil metagenome. Its description in RNAcentral is "partial contains 5.8S ribosomal RNA, internal transcribed spacer 2, and large subunit ribosomal RNA". The stretch from base 1 to 122 matches the Rfam family "5.8S ribosomal RNA", at positions 35 to 154 of the family's 154-position model. The record is from RNAcentral.
GAUGAAGAACGUAGCGAAAUGCUAUACUUGGUGUGAAUUGCAGAAUCCCGUGAACCAUCGAGUCUUUGAACGCAAGUUGCGCCUCAAGCCAUUAGGUUGAGGGCACGUCUGCCUGGGCGUCACAUAUCGUUGCCUGAUGCCAGUUUCCUCGUGAUGGGUGACUGUGCAGGGCGAAUGAUGGCUUCCCGUGAGCAUUGUUGCCUCAUGGUUGGUUGAAAAUUGAGUCCUUGGUAGGGAGCGCCGUGAUAGAUGGUGGUUGAGUGACAAACGAGACCCAAUCAUGUGAGACCCCUACCGAAUUUGGCCUUCAUGACCCACAUGCGUCUUUGGAACGCUCAUGACGAGACCUCAGGUCAGGCGGGGCUACCCGCUGAGUUUAAGCAUAUCAAUAAGCGGAGGA